This 423-nucleotide ribosomal RNA is filed under the name uncultured prokaryote. RNAcentral describes it as "bacterial SSU rRNA". It matches the Rfam family "Bacterial small subunit ribosomal RNA", at positions 355 to 776 of the family's 1533-position model. The record is from RNAcentral. RNAcentral also lists the same sequence under 1 other name.
UGAGGAAUAUUGGUCAAUGGGCGAGAGCCUGAACCAGCCAAGUAGCGUGAAGGAUGACGGCCCUAUGGGUUGUAAACUCCUUUUGUCGGGGAAUAACAAGCGCCACGUGUGGCGCCCUGCAUCUACCCGGUGAAUAAGGACCGGCUAAUUCCGUGCCAGCAGCCGCGGUAAUACGGAAGGUCCGAGCGUUAUCCGGAUUUAUUGGGUUUAAAGGGAGCGUAGGCGGAAUUGUAAGUCAGCCGGUAAAUAGCGGGGCUCAACCCCGUAGUGCGGUUGAAACUGUAGUUCUUGAGUGCACAAGAGGUAGGUGGAAUUCGUGGUGUAGCGGUGAAAUGCUUAGAUAUCACGAAGAACUCCGAUUGCGAAGGCAGCUUACUGGUGUGUUACUGACGCUGAUGCUCGAAGGUGCGGGUAUCAAACAGG